This 772-nucleotide long non-coding RNA is filed under the name Homo sapiens (human). Its description in RNAcentral is "PREDICTED lncRNA (TCONS_00092195)". Lineage: Eukaryota; Metazoa; Chordata; Mammalia; Primates; Hominidae. The record is from RNAcentral.
CCUGGGCAAUGGCGGGCGCCCCUCCCCCAGCCUCGCUGCCGCCUUGCAGUUUGAUCUCAGACUGCUGUGCUAGCAAUCAGUGUGACUCCGUGGGGUAGGACCCUCCGAGCCAGGUGCGGGAUAUAAUCUCGUGGUGCGCCGUUUUUUAAGCGGGUCUGAAAAGCGCAAUAUUCGGGUGGGAGUGACCCGAUUUUCCAGGUGCCGUCCGUCACCCCUUUCUUUGACUCGGAAAGGGAACUCCCUGACCCCUUGCUCUUCCCAAGUGAGGCAAUGCCUCGCCCUGCUUCGGCUCGCGCACGGUGCACGCACCCACUGACCUGCGCCCACUGUCUGGCACUCCCUAGUGAGAUGAACCCGGUACCUCAGAUGGAAAUGCAGAAAUCACCCAUCUUCUGCGUCGCUCACGCUGGGAGCUGUAGACCAGAGCUGUUCCUAUUCGGACAUCUUGGCUCCUCCCGUGCUUUCUACAUCCCACAUGGAAGCAGCAAUGAGAUGUUUUAAAACGAGAUGUUUCAAAAUCACCAUCUCACUCUAGUUUGUCUACAAAGCCAUCUAUCAAGAACAUUAUAUGAACUUUUAAAUACAUUCUUCUGUAUUUAUAGAAUGAUUUUUAAAGCAUUUCCAGCCAUGUUUAAAAGCUGUGAAUAGUCUUUUUUUUGUAACCUAGUAACCAAAGUUAUUAAUGAAAGUCACAGUUAAACUUUUUUCCUUUGAAAAUAAAAUGAAUCAACACAUAACGAGAAGGUUAACAUUUUUCUCUAUCUUCUGGAAA